ACCUGACUGCUAUCGGAUUGGUACUAAGCCAUGCGAGUCAUUGUAGCAAUACAAGGCAUACGGCUCAGUAACGCGUAGUCAACCUAACCUAUGGACGGAAAUAACCUCGGGAAACUGAGAAUAAUGCCCGAUAGAACAUUGUACCUGGAAUGGUUUAUGUUCCAAAUGAUUUAUCGCCAUAGGAUGGGACUGCGGCCUAUCAGUUUGUUGGUGAGGUAAUGGCCCACCAAGACUAUUACAGGUACGGGCUCUGAGAGGAGUAGCCCGGAGAUGGGUACUGAGACACGGACCCAGGCCCUAUGGGGCGCAGCAGGCGAGAAAACUUUGCAAUGUGCGAAAGCACGACAAGGUUAAUCCGAGUGAUUUCUGCUAAAGAGAUCUUUUGUUAGUCCUAGAAACACUAACGAAUAAGGGGUGGGCAAGUUCUGGUGUCAGCCGCCGCGGUAAAACCAGCACCUCAAGUGGUCAGGAUGAUUAUUGGGCCUAAAGCAUCCGUAGCCGGCUCUGUAAGUUUUCGGUUAAAUCUGUACGCUCAACGUACAGGCUGCCGGAAAUACUGCAGAACUAGGGAGUGGGAGAGGUAGACGGUACUCGGUAGGAAGUGGUAAAAUGCUUUGAUCUAUCGAUGACCACCUGUGGCGAAGGCGGUCUACCAGAACACGUCCGACGGUGAGGGAUGAAAGCUGGGGGAGCAAACCGGAUUAGAUACCCGGGUAGUCCCAGCUGUAAACUAUGCAAACUCAGUGAUGCAUUGGCUUGUGGCCAAUGCAGUGCUGCAGGGAAGCCGUUAAGUUUGCCGCCUGGGAAGUACGUACGCAAGUAUGAAACUUAAAGGAAUUGGCGGGGGAGCACCACAAGGGGUGAAGCCUGCGGUUC
Molecule: ribosomal RNA, 876 nt
Filed under: uncultured crenarchaeote
Lineage: Archaea; Thermoproteati; Thermoproteota
Description: bacterial SSU rRNA
Rfam family: Archaeal small subunit ribosomal RNA
Source: RNAcentral